GAGAAACACUGCUUUAGAAAAGUUGUGCCACAUGGUCAGGUGAACUACUUCAUCACUGAUCUAGAUAGACUAUAAUUGACCUCUAUCUGUAUCAGCCAUCUUAAUGACGGUAAUCUAUCAAUCUAACUGCUGACCAUCACGAGUCUGAAUGGCAAUCAGAUGCUGUGGUUGUGUCUGAGCUUGCGUAGCUAGGCAACAGAAGGAUACAGUGAAAAUGAGAACACAGCUUGCAACUGUUGCUAGGGAACCAUUGGAGAGUUUUAGAGCUUGUAAAUGGAGAGCUGGAUGGAUCAGACUCUAAUAGCCUGGGUUUGAUGGAGGCACACAUACAGGGAGAUGAGGGAUCUCAAAGAGGCAGCGCUCUUUACCCCCUCCACCAUGCCAAAGUGUCAGAUUCAACUGGGCUUGAGCCCAACAAAAUACAAAAUGUCCAGUAACAAAAUCCUUCUCUAGCCAGAAGCAACCAACCAUGUGUGUGAAAGAGAGACAGACAGAGAGCUCUAUAAUUGUGAGGAUGGACAAACAUUUUAGCAAAGCGUGUCACUGCAACCUGACAACAUCAACACCCAUAAUACAGGUACGUGUGAAACACAAGUACUCCAUUCACACAAUGCUGCCCAUCUGCGCGUAGCGUUUCAUCUUUUGGAGGGCGAAUAAAGCGUUUCAUCAUCUUCACAGGCAGCAUUCGAGGGUCACCGUGCAAACAGAACUGGCGUAGCAAUUAAAGAAGAGACUGAACGGCAGUAAUUUGUUUUCAGCAGCAUUGACAUUUUUCAAGAUAAAUGUAGAGAGAGAGAUCAGAGAGGAACAUGGCUGCCCUCAUCAAUCCCAUAAGACCUCACAGCAGUAGCUCUCAUACAUGAGGUGUUCGCUCAGUGUUCAGCUGUUGAUUGCUUUUGCAUUUGAUCUGACACACAGUAUACGAGUCCCUAUUUUUCACUUUUUAAAAGGUCUUUGCUACUCCAUUAUCUGCAUUCUUUCUG
Molecule: long non-coding RNA, 983 nt
Organism: Misgurnus anguillicaudatus (oriental weatherfish)
Lineage: Eukaryota; Metazoa; Chordata; Actinopteri; Cypriniformes; Cobitidae
Source: RefSeq, a predicted model, not a curated record